CUUCCCUUUGAAAUGUGCCCCUACAUAAGCCUCCACCAAGGUUGGCAUCUUCCAGCAUAAUCUCUCAAGUCUCAAGAUUACCGGGUCAGUAAUCUCCGUUAUUGUGUGUACUAAUGAUAUGUGCAAACAUAUCAUUCGGUGAUCAGGGUGAAAUCAGAGUGAAACCAUUAGAAAAGAAGAGAAGAGAAGAAUUAUCAGAUUAGAAGCAAGACGAAAUCAUAUAAUCAUAGAAGGAGAAGCCAUGAUCUAAAAUAUCACCAUUUUCAUAGAUAACCUCUGCGUGUUACACAAUGGCACAUAUAUAGCCAAACCUAUAACUGCCCAUAGAAACUACCCAAACUACCUAUUACAUGUGUACAUAUCAAUUACCUUAACAUCAACGUUAUUUCUCCAUUGUUUCGUACUUUUUGAAAAAUUGAAGGAGUUGAUAUUUAAAAAUGAAGAUGUUUACAAGUGGUAGAGAGAACAUUAAGUUAUCAAUUUGGGAUGUUGGACAGGAUAUGGUAAACAAGUGGUAGAGAGAACAUUAAGCUAUCGGUAAAACAUUUCUCUUGGACACAUACUGAUCGUGAUCGAUGUAUGUAAGGCGUGGACUGGAAUCGUAGUACGGAAAGAUAUAUGGCCUUAGUUUUUGUAAGAUAGAUUGAACGACAUCUUUGUCUUGAUGUAGCAUUUUAAAAUUGAGGGUCACAAGAGUCUGAUUGAAAGGCGUGGUUCUCCCACAACAGGUACAACUUAUCAUCACGUUGUUGAAUUACUGACUGCAAUCCCGAGCUUCAGGUACCAGGUAAUUUUGCAAGUCGGUAUUGUUACAUCCAGCUUUUGUUGGUUUUUGGUGUAUCGAGCUGAUUAUUUUGUGUGUGUUGUCGUGUUAUGUUCGUGCAAGUAGGGAAAUAUUGUGCAAGGCUACCCCUACCAGAAUGCCACUGUGCAAGGUACCCCUACACUAUGAGUAUUGCUUAGACUGUAGUAAGAAAGUUGUAGGCGAUGUCGGAAAUUGAUUAUAUUAGUGACCAUUAGCAACAACAUAGAAUGUGAAUUGGAUGAAAAUAAAUAGAUAGUGGCGUGUGUCGUGUUAAUUAAUGAGACCAAAACUAAAUUUUACAUCGCCUUAAUUUGAAAAAUAAGCUUAUACAAGACCCAUGGAGAUCCAUAGGCACAAUCAUAAUGAAUGAAUAUCGGUAUACAACUGGAGAAAGUUUCAAACACCAACAACUCUAUUUUCUUAUAUGAAAAGGUUACUUGCAUGAUCUACGUAAUCACGACCAACAAUUUCUUUCUUACAUUGAAAAAGGUACAAAUUUCAUCCAUUAGUGUUCCCUAGGCUGUGUUCCUUUAUCACAGAGAAAUUGCAUUAUGUAAUUCACUCAGAGGCUCAGGCAUUAUUAAUUUGUGAAGAUCCAUAGGCACAUUAAAAAUUCACACUCAGAGGCUCAGGCAUUAUUAAUUUUGGAUUAUCUUGAAGUAUUGUUUCCAUUUUAUGCAAGAACGGGUUGGAAUGUUUGAUUUCCGGUUUCAAAUUUGAAUUAGGUGAUGUCAUUUCCAUUCGAAGAUAUAAUCUUUUUAAAUCAUUUUCUGCAUUUAAACUAGGGGUAUAAUUUGAUAUUUAUUGUACUAUAUUCCAGCUUCCUGUGUUUAAUGGUAAGGGACUAAUUCUUCUUAUAUUGAUGUAUGUUUUAAGAAAUUUAUGGUUGUUAAUUGUUGAAAUUCUAAUUGCCCAAACAGAAGAUGCAAAGACAAUGAACUGAGUCAUAUUUCACCCAGCCUAAUAGAUACUGAAGAUUUUAACUUUUUGCAGUGACCACUCGGUUGUUUUCUGUUGGAUAUGGAGUACCUGUCUGUUGAAGUCAUAGUUUGCCUUAAAAAUUGAAACUGACAAUGGUUAAAGUUAAAGCUGCAAUUGAGAUUGAGAUACCACCUAUAUUGCUUUUCAUGUAUACUGAGUCGGCGAGUAAUUCAUCUUCUGAUGAAGUAUGUUCUAAGCAGUUUUUUGUGUUGUUGUUUAUUGUUGCGCAGGUAGGGAUAUGCUUUGAAAUAGAGUAUUUCCUUCUUAUUUCUGAUAUUGAAAUGGUCACAAAUUUUUUGCACCUGUCGACGAUGCCACUGAAGGCAUUUCUAGCUAGCAAGUCUAUUCGACUCAUGAUAGAAUGAAUCACCUGCCGCGAUGCCAGUGAAGCAUUUUAAUUCAGUUGGACACUUUCAUUUUUGUGAUCAGCUUGCCGUUAGACUGCCUCUCAAUUCAUGUAUAACAAAACUUUUUAAGCGUUUGAGGGCAGAAUUAUCUCUCUUUCUGAAUAUUUGUUUUUUAUUUUGAUUUUUGAACGAAAAUGAGUUAGAAUAUUUUUAAUCUUUCAUAAAAACGAAAAGAUUUGAUCAACCAAAACCGCCUUUGUAAACUUUCGCUGUUAUCAAAAGUUUGUUUAUGGGUA
Molecule: long non-coding RNA, 2429 nt
Organism: Papaver somniferum (opium poppy)
Lineage: Eukaryota; Viridiplantae; Streptophyta; Magnoliopsida; Ranunculales; Papaveraceae
Exons: 5
Source: RefSeq, a predicted model, not a curated record